CGCAUGGUGGGGUGGGAAUGCUUUUUGCGGCAUGGGAUGGGGUCGCGUCCUAUCAGCUUGUUGGCGGGGUGAUGGCCCACCAAGGCGUUGACGGGUAGCCGGCCUGAGAGGGUGACCGGCCACAUUGGGACUGAGAUACGGCCCAGACUCCUACGGGAGGCAGCAGUGGGGAAUAUUGCACAAUGGGCGCAAGCCUGAUGCAGCGACGCCGCGUGCGGGAUGGAGGCCUUCGGGUUGUAAACCGCUUUUGUUCAAGGGCAAGGCACGGCUUCGGGCCGUGUUGAGUGGAUUGUUCGAAUAAGCACCGGCUAACUACGUGCCAGCAGCCGCGGUAAUACGUAGGGUGCGAGCGUUAUCCGGAUUUAUUGGGCGUAAAGGGCUCGUAGGCGGUUCGUCGCGUCCGGUGUGAAAGUCCAUCGCCUAACGGUGGAUCUGCGCCGGGUACGGGCGGGCUGGAGUGCGGUAGGGGAGACUGGAAUUCCCGGUGUAACGGUGGA
This 497-nucleotide ribosomal RNA is filed under the name uncultured Bifidobacterium sp. RNAcentral's name for it is "bacterial SSU rRNA". It matches the Rfam family "Bacterial small subunit ribosomal RNA", at positions 187 to 685 of the family's 1533-position model. Lineage: Bacteria; Bacillati; Actinomycetota; Actinomycetes; Bifidobacteriales; Bifidobacteriaceae. The record is from RNAcentral.